UGGUGUGAUGUCGAGCAGGAGAAAAGAAGAAGAGGGAGCCAAUUUCAUCAUGACAAUCACAAAAUUGGAUGGUUAAAACCCCAACUCUGCUCUCUUUGAUCAAUUUCUAGCAUUCUUGAUGCGUGAUAACGGGUCAAAUGCGUGGUGAAAUAACGUCUGGAUGGCAACGAGUCAAACGAGUAAUAAAGCAACAACACUCCUACGGGCGAAGGUGAGUGACUCGAAUGUUUUUAGAGUCGUAUUGAUUUA
This 249-nucleotide long non-coding RNA is filed under the name Helianthus annuus (common sunflower). RNAcentral describes it as "sRNA HanXRQr2_Chr10g0433421". Lineage: Eukaryota; Viridiplantae; Streptophyta; Magnoliopsida; Asterales; Asteraceae. The record is from RNAcentral.